GUCUGUAGCCACAUCGCCCUGAAAGUGCCUGAUCUCACCUGAUCACAGAAGCUAAGCAUGGGCAGCCUUGGCUAGUGCUCAGAUGGGAACAGUACUAGGGAACCUUGCAAAGAGGAAGAGAUC
Molecule: ribosomal RNA, 123 nt
Filed under: Microtus ochrogaster (prairie vole)
Lineage: Eukaryota; Metazoa; Chordata; Mammalia; Rodentia; Cricetidae
Source: RNAcentral